This 492-nucleotide ribosomal RNA is filed under the name uncultured bacterium. RNAcentral's name for it is "partial 16S ribosomal RNA". It matches the Rfam family "Bacterial small subunit ribosomal RNA", at positions 28 to 507 of the family's 1533-position model. The record is from RNAcentral.
GGUGAACGCUGGCGGUAGGCCUAACACAUGCAAGUCGAACGGCAGCACAGUAAGAGCUUGCUCUUACGGGUGGCGAGUGGCGGACGGGUGAGGAAUACAUCGGAAUCUACUUUUUCGUGGGGGAUAACGUAGGGAAACUUACGCUACUACCGCAUACGACCUACGGGUGAAAGCAGGGGAUCUUCGGACCUUGCGCGAUUGAAUGAGCCGAUGUCGGAUUAGCUAGUUGGCGGGGUAAAGGCCCACCAAGGCGACGAUCCGUAGCUGGUCUGAGAGGAUGAUCAGCCACACUGGAACUGAGACACGGUCCAGACUCCUACGGGAGGCAGCAGUGGGGAAUAUUGGACAAUGGGCGCAAGCCUGAUCCAGCCAUACCGCGUGGGUGAAGAAGGCCUUCGGGUUGUAAAGCCCUUUUGUUGGGAAAGAAAAGCAGCAGGUUAAUACCCCGCUGUUCUGACGGUACCCAAAGAAUAAGCACCGGCUAACUUCGUG